GUGACAGGAGCACUGUAUGUGUUGGCGCUGCAAAGCACAGCGUUGCUCAUGUACAGCACUACUUCUGGUGACAUAAUCCUUUGCGUGGCGCCUUAUUCUGAGAGUAGCUGAAUGAGAACGAGGCACCUCACAAAGGAUGAUGUGGCUGCACAAUGGAAGAUGUCAGCAUGGUGAGCGGUGAUCUGGGGGAGGGGAUUCCACACUGUGUAUACUGCUGCCCGGUAUAGUGGUGGUGGUGAUGGGCCUGUGCAAGGUGUGACAGGCCCAUCCCAGCCAGCGCUGUAGCCUCCCCUAUCCCAGACAGCGGUAUAAAGAUUUGUUCAUAGUCCGACCCUCCAACGGUCUGAGGGACAGUGAACUGGCCCCCUGUGUAAAAAGUUUGGGGACCUCAGAUCUAGAUCGUUGGCUGGAACCCUCAAGGGCCUGGGGAAAGGGUGCUCCAGAGAGCAAAGUAACUAGAACUCCUAAGCUGUCUCCUCAAGAUGGGUGGAGCUUUAUUCUGCUGAGCUCCAGAAAGCAAAACCCUAAGCUGUGGCAUCAGCUGCCUUGGGAGGCAUUUCAAAGAAAACAGAAAUCCAAUCCCAAAGAGAAGCAGCAGCCACAGGACUCUCCUGCUAGACACAACUUGAAAGCCUCCUGGUGACUUUGUUUCCCAUCUUAACCUUGCCGGCAUCCCCAGCUUCCUGUAUCACUUCUAUGCCAACAAGGAUCACCAACUACUGU
This 723-nucleotide long non-coding RNA is filed under the name Monodelphis domestica (gray short-tailed opossum). RNAcentral describes it as "lncRNA (ENSMODG00000037639.1)". Lineage: Eukaryota; Metazoa; Chordata; Mammalia; Didelphimorphia; Didelphidae. The record is from RNAcentral.